RNAcentral lists this unclassified non-coding RNA (216 nucleotides) under uncultured fungus. RNAcentral describes it as "sequence contains ITS1". The record is from RNAcentral. Lineage: Eukaryota; Fungi.
ACAAAGCUUGAAGUUCGCUCAACCGCGUCUUCAACAAAUCCAUCCACACCUUGUGCAAUAUUGACAUCGAGGCAAGUUCUUUCGGGAAUUUGCUGGUCUUGUGGGGGGAAAAACCUAAAGGAUAGGCAGCAAUGCUUUAAACCUUUAAGCCCCCCAAAAGUAUUUAACCUAUAACGUUUUUUGUUGGUCUGAAACUUUUUAUUGAUACAAUAAAAA